CUCAAGUAGUCUGACCAGGGGA
Molecule: microRNA, 22 nt
Filed under: Homo sapiens (human)
Lineage: Eukaryota; Metazoa; Chordata; Mammalia; Primates; Hominidae
Description: hsa-miR-4465
Source: miRBase by way of RNAcentral